GAGCCGCCAGCCGGGCGUGAGUAAGUCUAGGGCCCAGUUUCCGGCUGCGCCAUUGCUGUGUGGGUCUUGGGACCUCGAGUUGGAGGACGCGGGAGGGUGGGGGCGGGGGCAGGGCAGCGCUGAGAUUUCCGGGGAGCGGCAGGUGAGGCCGCGCGGGGCGGGUGACGGCACCCGGGCGGGCUCCUUUCCAGGCUGGAGCCCGAGACUGCCACGUCCUGCGGGGACCAAGUGGUGGGCGAGGAGGCGUGGAGCGGCUUCAGGACUCGAGGAGCGGUUCCGAAGCAGCUAGGGACUUUUGCCUUUGCCCCCCGAGGUCGAUCGGAAGACAACCCCCAUCCCCUGCUGUAGCGGGACAGUUGGAGGGUCAUGGGUGGGUGAAGUGUUUGGCUGAGGGAAACUCAGACCAAAGAGCAGCGGCAAGAAAGCAGUUGGGUCCCCACAAAACGCCCGAAGUCAAGGUGAGGGUCACACAACGACUCUUGACGAUUCCGGCGAGUUCAUCCUGGUGCACAUCCCACUCCAUGCCUCUCUCUUCUGGUUGGACAAUAGUUACAUCCUUACGAAAAGGAGGCAAGCUACUGGGCCUUGGUGGAUCCACUCAACCUUGUUACCAAGGGACAUGCCGCCAUGCUAUGUGAAAAGGGGGGUUUUGUUGUUUGUUUUUAAUUUAAGUAUCUAAUUCGUUUCACGAAAGAAUGAUCAAUACCGGCCCAGAGUAAACUUGAUAAGUAAUUAAACUGUCAGGGCAUAGAGUUCCCAUAGAGGUGCUUGUUCUUUCAAUACACAAAUAAAGGGAUGCAAAAGUCAACAUGCAGAAAGGGUGAGUUAAUAUUGUCUUCUAAUCUACAGGAACUGAAAGAUUAGCUAAUCUGGUUUGGUUGGUGACCAAAUUUUGUGAUUGCUUGCACUGUUUGACUACCUCUGACAAAUGUUGCAAGACCUCUUCACUGAUUCUCCAAAGACUAUAGAAUGUUCUCUUUCAGGAGCAAGCUGCGACAUGUUUAACUAGUUUAGGUAAAACAACAAUAACUGUUAUUUACCAGGGAACAGGCUUUUGGCAGAUAAUCUAACGAUCUACGAUACUGUUCGUUGGGCAUAUGUUAAUGUUUGUAAUGUUGUAUUACCAGCAGUUGUUUUCUUACUCCUUUUUAUUUGAAAACCUGGAUGAUAGUUUCAAAGCCUAUGCUGCUUAGGCCUAGCCUGUACCUUAGUAGCCAGAAAAAGUAGACUCAGUCACUGGAUUGUGUGCACUGAAUACUUACUUGAGAUAACUGAUUUUUCUAAAACUUCCCCAAGUCUUGAAUCCAAGAUGUGGGCAGAAUGUAUUAUUUUAACAUCCUUCGUUCCAGAGGCCAAUGCGUGUUUUAUUUUAAUCAUGAUAGGUGGUUUUCCCAGUUACUGCCUCCGGAUACUUGCAGUGCUGCAUCCCUAGUUAAAAGCCCAGAAGUCUUGGGCAGGAAGGAAGGGCAUAUAAAGAGAAAGCCUUUGUAGUUCUUUAGCUGUAAUCUAGACCAGGGGUCCCCAACGACGGACUGGUACCUGGUUUGCAGCCUGUUAGGAACGGGGCCGCACAGCAGGAGGUGAGCGAUGGGUGAGUGAGCAUUUCCGUCUAAGUUCCGCCUCCUGUCAGAUCAGCAGCAUCAUUAGAUUCUCAUGGUGCGAACCGUAAUGUGAACUGCAUGUGCGAGGGAUCUAGGUUGUGCGCUCCUUAUGAUAAUCUAAUGCCUGAUGAUCUGAGGUGGAACAGCUUCAUCCUGAAAGCAUCCCCCAUCCCCGUCCAUGGAAAAAUUGUUUUCCACGAAACCAGUCCUGGAUGCCAUUAAGGUUGGAGACUGCUGAUCUAGACCAUGCCUUUACAAUCUAAGUUUGCUCAUCUAGCUUCAAGUUACAGGACAGUCUGCAAGACCAGGAACAGCAUAGGGGUUGCCACAGUGGAGCUCCUUACUGCAGUCUGCAUUGCCUUAACUAAAGGUGGUGUCAGGAUUGAUUCAAAUACUGUGAACUACUUUCCAUAAAGAGAAGUCUGAGCUCGUGAACUGAGAUUCACAGUUGUGGUACAGUAAUGUUAUGUAUACUCUGAUAAAUCACUCUGAGUGUGUUUCCACUUAGAUAUGUGGAAAGCAUACUAGGCAAUCUCCAAUGCCCUUUCAGCUUUAAAAUCUGUAAAUUGGACUGGAUUUGGUCAUUUUUCUUAAAUAAAUAGCAUAGUAAGGUAUUUGAU
RNAcentral lists this long non-coding RNA (2221 nucleotides) under Homo sapiens (human). RNAcentral's name for it is "non-protein coding SMIM15-AS1:27". The record is from RNAcentral. Lineage: Eukaryota; Metazoa; Chordata; Mammalia; Primates; Hominidae.